This 1431-nucleotide ribosomal RNA is filed under the name Triticum aestivum (bread wheat). RNAcentral's name for it is "partial small subunit ribosomal RNA". Lineage: Eukaryota; Viridiplantae; Streptophyta; Magnoliopsida; Poales; Poaceae. The record is from RNAcentral.
AUGAAAGGAGGCAAGGCGAUGGGCCCUGAUUGUAUCCCCAUUGAGGUGUGGAAAGGUCUCGGGGACAUAGCGAUAGUAUGGCUAACCAAGCUUUUCAACCUCAUUUUUCGGGCAAACAAGAUGCCAGAAGAAUGGAGACGGAGUAUAUUAGUACCAAUCUUCAAGAACAAGGGGGAUGUUCAGAGUUGUACUAAUUACCGUGGAAUUAAGCUGAUGAGCCAUACAAUGAAGCUAUGGGAGAGAGUCAUUGAGCACCGCUUAAGAAGAAUGACAAGCGUGACCAAAAAUCAGUUUGGUUUCAUGCCUGGGAGGUCGACCAUGGAAGCCAUUUUCUUGGUACGACAACUUAUGGAGAGAUAUAGGGAGCAUAAGAGGGACUUGCAUAUGGUGUUCAUUGACUUGGAGAAGGCCUAUGAUAAGAUACCGCGGAAUGUCAUGUGGUGGGCCUUGGAGAAACACAAAGUCCCAGCAAAGUACAUUACCCUCAUCAAGGACAUGUACAAUAAUGUUGUGACAAGUGUUCGAACAAGUGAUGUCGACACCGAUGACUUCCCGAUUAAGAUAGGACUGCAUCAGGGGUCAGCUUUGAGCCCUUAUCUUUUUGCAUUGGUGAUGGAUGAGGUCACAAGGGGUAUACAAGGAGAUAUCCCAUGGUGUAUGCUCUUUGUGGAUGAUGUGGUGCUAGUUGACGAUAGUCGGACGGGGGUAAAUAGGAAGUUAGAGUUAUGGAGACAAACCUUGGAAUCGAAAGGGUUUAGGCUUAGUAGAACUAAAACCAAGUACAUGAUGUGCGGUUUCAGUACUACUAGCUGUGAGGAGGAGGAGGUUAGCCUUGAUGGCCAGGUGGUACCUCGGAAGGACACCUUUCGGUAUUUGGGGUCAAUGUUGCAGGAGGAUGGGGGUAUUGAUGAAGAUGUGAACCAUCGAAUCAAAGCCGGAUGGAUGAAGUGGCGCCAAGCUUCUGGCAUUCUCUGUGACAAGAGAGUGCCACAAAAGCUAAAAGGCAAGUUCUACAGGACGGCGGUUCGACCCGCAAUGUUGUAUGGCGCGGAGUGUUGGCCGACUAAGAGGCGACAUGUUCAACAGUUAGGUGUGGCGGAGAUGCGUAUGUUGAGAUGGAUGUGUGGCCACACGAGGAAGGAUCGAGUCCGGAAUGAUGAUAUACGAGAUAGAGUUGGGGUAGCACCAAUUGAGGAGAAGCUUGUCCAACAUUGUUUGAGAUGGUUUGGGCAUAUUCAGCGCAGGCCUCCAGAAGCUCCAGUGCAUAGCGGACGGCUAAAGCGUGCGGAGAAUGUCAAGAGAGGGCGGGGUCGACCGAUUUUGACAUGGGAGGAGUCCGUUAAGAGAGACCUGAAGGAUUGGAGUAUCGACAAAGAGCUAGCUAUGGACAGGGGUGCGUGGAAGCUUGCUAUCCAUGUGCCAGAGCCAUGA